RNAcentral lists this ribosomal RNA (2109 nucleotides) under Limnohabitans sp. KL1. RNAcentral describes it as "bacterial LSU rRNA". It matches the Rfam family "Bacterial large subunit ribosomal RNA", at positions 543 to 2656 of the family's 2925-position model. The record is from RNAcentral. Lineage: Bacteria; Pseudomonadati; Pseudomonadota; Betaproteobacteria; Burkholderiales; Comamonadaceae.
AUAGAUCCUGAAACCGUGUGCUUACAAAAAGUAGGAGCCUCGUAAGGGGUGACUGCGUACCUUUUGUAUAAUGGGUCAGCGACUUACAUUCAGUGGCAAGGUUAACCGAAUAGGGAAGCCGUAGAGAAAUCGAGUCCGAAUAGGGCGUCAUAGUCGCUGGGUGUAGACCCGAAACCAAGUGAUCUAUCCAUGGGCAGGAUGAAGGUGCCGUAACAGGUACUGGAGGUCCGAACCGACUAAUGUUGCAAAAUUAGCGGAUGACCUGUGGAUAGGGGUGAAAGGCUAAACAAACUUGGAAAUAGCUGGUUCUCUCCGAAAACUAUUUAGGUAGUGCCUCAAGUAUUACCGACGGGGGUAGAGCACUGUUUUGGCUAGGGGGUCAUGGCGACUUACCAAACCAAGGCAAACUCCGAAUACCGUCGAGUACAGCUUGGGAGACAGAGCACCGGGUGCUAACGUCCGGACUCAAGAGGGAAACAACCCAGACCGCCAGCUAAGGUCCCUAAAAUUGGCUAAGUGGGAAACGAAGUGGGAAGGCUAAAACAGUCAGGAUGUUGGCUUAGAAGCAGCCAUCAUUUAAAGAAAGCGUAAUAGCUCACUGAUCGAGUCGUCCUGCGCGGAAGAUGUAACGGGGCUAAGCCAGUUACCGAAGCUGCGGAUUUGCAAUUUAUUGCAAGUGGUAGGAGAGCGUUCUGUAGGCCUGUGAAGGUGUCUUGUAAAGGAUGCUGGAGGUAUCAGAAGUGCGAAUGCUGACAUGAGUAGCGUUAAAGGGGGUGAAAAGCCCCCUCGCCGUAAGCGCAAGGUUUUCUACGCAACGUUCAUCGGCGUAGAGUGAGUCGGCCCCUAAGGCGAGGCAGAGAUGCGUAGCUGAUGGGAAACAGGUCAAUAUUCCUGUACCGAUUACAAGUGCGAUGUGGGGACGGAGAAGGUUAGCUCAGCCAACUGUUGGAUAUGUUGGUUCAAGCCUGUAGUCAUGCCCGGUAGGCAAAUCCGCCGGGCUUAGAUGAGGGGUGAUAAGGAGUGUGCUUGCACACGAACUGAGUGAUACCCUGCUUCCAGGAAAAGCCACUAAGCUUCAGCUUGUAACGACCGUACCGCAAACCGACACUGGUGCGCGAGAUGAGUAUUCUAAGGCGCUUGAGAGAACUCUGGAGAAGGAACUCGGCAAAUUGAUACCGUAACUUCGGGAGAAGGUAUGCCCCUAGUAGGUGAACUCGAACAGAGGGAGCCCAAUGGGGUUGCAAAAAAUCGGUGGCUGCGACUGUUUAAUAAAAACACAGCACUCUGCAAACACGAAAGUGGACGUAUAGGGUGUGACGCCUGCCCGGUGCUGGAAGAUUAAAUGAUGGGGUGCAAGCUCUUGAUUGAAGUCCCAGUAAACGGCGGCCGUAACUAUAACGGUCCUAAGGUAGCGAAAUUCCUUGUCGGGUAAGUUCCGACCUGCACGAAUGGCGUAACGAUGGCCACACUGUCUCCUCCAGAGACUCAGCGAAGUUGAAAUGUUUGUGAUGAUGCAAUCUCCCCGCGGAAAGACGGAAAGACCCCAUGAACCUUUACUGUAGCUUUGUAUUGGACUUUGAACAGAUCUGUGUAGGAUAGGUGGGAGGCUUUGAAGCCGGAACGCUAGUUUCGGUGGAGCCAACGUUGAAAUACCACCCUGGUGUGUUUGAGGUUCUAACCUAGGUCCAUUAUCUGGAUCGGGGACAGUGCAUGGUAGGCAGUUUGACUGGGGCGGUCUCCUCCCAAAGUGUAACGGAGGAGUUCGAAGGUACGCUAGUUACGGUCGGACAUCGUGAUAAUAGUGCAAUGGCAUAAGCGUGCUUAACUGCGAGACUGACAAGUCGAGCAGAUGCGAAAGCAGGACAUAGUGAUCCGGUGGUUCUGUAUGGAAGGGCCAUCGCUCAACGGAUAAAAGGUACUCUGGGGAUAACAGGCUGAUACCGCCCAAGAGUUCAUAUCGACGGCGGUGUUUGGCACCUCGAUGUCGGCUCAUCUCAUCCUGGGGCUGUAGCCGGUCCCAAGGGUAUGGCUGUUCGCCAUUUAAAGAGGUACGUGAGCUGGGUUUAAAACGUCGUGAGACAGUUUGGUCCCUAUCUUCCGUGGGCGCUG